GACGAACGCUGGCGGCGUGCUUAACACAUGCAAGUCGAACGGAAAGGCCUCUUUCGGGGGGUACUCGAGUGGCGAACGGGUGAGUAACACGUGAGUAACCUGCCCUUGACUUUGGGAUAACUUCAGGAAACUGGGGCUAAUACCGGAUAGGAGCUCCUGCUGCAUGGUGGGGGUUGGAAAGUUUCGGCGGUUGGGGAUGGACUCGCGGCUUAUCAGCUUGUUGGUGGGGUAGUGGCUUACCAAGGCUUUGACGGGUAGCCGGCCUGAGAGGGUGACCGGCCACAUUGGGACUGAGAUACGGCCCAGACUCCUACGGGAGGCAGCAGUGGGGAAUAUUGCACAAUGGGUGGAAGCCUGAUGCAGCAACGCCGUGUGCGGGAUGACGGCCUUCGGGUUGUAAACCGCUUUCGCUCAUGACGAAGCUUUGUGUGACGGUAGUGGGUAAAGAAACACCGGCUAACUACGU
This 466-nucleotide ribosomal RNA is filed under the name uncultured bacterium. RNAcentral's name for it is "partial 16S ribosomal RNA". It matches the Rfam family "Bacterial small subunit ribosomal RNA", at positions 28 to 506 of the family's 1533-position model. The record is from RNAcentral.